AUACGGAGGGUGCAAGCGUUGUUCGGAUUUACUGGGCGUAAAGAGAGUGUAGGUUGUUUAUUAAGUCGGAUGUGAAAUCCCGGGGCUCAACCUCGGAACUGCAUUCGAUACUGAUAGGCUAGAGUUUGGGAGGGGUAAGCGGAAUUCCGUGUGUAGCAGUGAAAUGCGUAGAUAUACGGAGGAACACCUGAGGCGAAGGCGGCUUACUGGACCAAUACUGACACUGAGACUCGAAAGCGUGGGUAGCAAACAGGAGUAGAAACCCUUGUAGUCC
This 274-nucleotide ribosomal RNA is filed under the name uncultured bacterium. RNAcentral's name for it is "partial 16S ribosomal RNA". It matches the Rfam family "Bacterial small subunit ribosomal RNA", at positions 523 to 796 of the family's 1533-position model. The record is from RNAcentral.